Molecule: non-coding RNA, 2421 nt
Organism: Petromyzon marinus (sea lamprey)
Lineage: Eukaryota; Metazoa; Chordata; Hyperoartia; Petromyzontiformes; Petromyzontidae
Source: RefSeq, a predicted model, not a curated record
ACGGCGAGAGCGACCGACCGGCCCUUUGCCGCUCCACCUCGCAGCUGGGAAGCCGUGGGGGUUCGCCCACCGGUGUGUGAGGGUCGCAGGCAAGCGUCGUGUGUGUCCCAGUGAAAGUUGAUGCUGGCUGUGCGCAACAAUGUUGCCGGGGCAAUGUUGCGGGUAAACGCCCUGGGCAAGGGGGAUUGAUAGGGUUGUGCAAGUCCUGCAAACGUCACCACCACCAUUACCACCACCAUCACCACCACCAAACCGACUCAGCGGCAGGGAGACCAAGUCACCCCCAUCGCUGCCUGUUCUACAGCAAGUGGCUGUGACAGAGACACGUGCAGUCGACUGCCGAAGGGAUACAAAGCUUUCUGAUCUAAGUAGAUUGGAAACGACGAGAAGAAUGCCGUCACCGAUGUUGUAGUUUACGAAUGUGGCAUGAGGCAGCAACACGCCAACACAAAUCUUCGUGCCGUGAGGUAUGCCGGCGAUACAAAUUGUGAGUCACGUUGUUUUUUGGAAGACGUAUGUUCUUUAAUAAUGAGUGUGUAUGCAAUAAUAUUUAUCUUGCGAUGGUCUGUGUAUAGUAAUGCUUUCAAAAAAAUUGCGUUUCUUGUAAUAAGCCUGCAAAAGUGUAGCGUAACAGUCAUACUUUUAAUGUACUUUCAAAUAUUUCUCCAUGAGUCAUGAAACACGUGGUAAACGAUAUGCAUGGUACCUUAAGUUAAGAGUUUGCUCACAGAUAACUCUGGACGAAUUCGUUUUCCAAGCAAGUCUGACAGCACAAUGUUAGCGUUCAAGGGGUUAAGAAUAAAUCAUCAGUCGUGCAAACACGAAUGUGCAUACUAUUGUGUAUAAUAAGUACAUUUCACUUGAGAGAUUUCAUUUCAGAUAUUGUGUAUUAGAUUAGGCAUGUGUGUUCUGUUUGAAUAUACAGUGAACUAAUUGAGUUUCCCCCUUUUGCCUCCAAGCAGCCGCUUACUCUCUGCUGCCAGUAAUUGUGGCACAGCACUGCAACUCAGCAGUGGAUUUAUUUAUCCUGAAGGGCUUGGCCAUUAUGAAGCUUGUUUUACUGUGGCGUGCAGGAAAUGAAGGAAAUAUGGCCCAGAAGGUCAUAAAGUACUAAAAGAUCAUUGUAGUAAAUUACAUUUUAAGGAGCAUCUUGUCGGGGGCUCCCCCCCCCCCCCCUCCACACACACUCUCUCUCUACCUGAAAUAAUCCAUGAUAGAUUUUUUUUGGGUGGUAAUGGUCGCGAAAGCGCGCGUGUUAAACUACCUGAAAGAAGCCACACACGACCAACAGGCGUCGGAUUAUUUUACGGAGGAAAUAUCGCCUUGCGCGUGCGCCGGUCCCCUACUUUGAGACAAAAGAGUGUACGAGGGGGCUUGAUUGUGCGCAGUAAAUUGUACAGAAAGUGGGACGCAGCAGCUGGCGGUCCUAGCAAAGUACUCUCUGGUGUACUUUAGACACCGUAGGCAGACCCUGCAAGCAAGGCGCAGCACCGCCGACUAAUUGAAUCCUCGCACAUUCAGUGUACGGCACAAAAGCAAGUAAUUCUUUUAAAAGAGCUCAAUCGCAUAGCGCUGCAGCGAUGCCGCUAAUGUCUCACUUCGCGCUCGGAAAUAAUUAGUAUUGGGUGUACAAAUGAUUCCUGAGCAACUAUUGUCACCCAUCGUGGUACAUUUUAAGGAAUAUUCAUUUUUAGUAAGCAACAAAGCAUUAUUGUCAUUGCACGGCAGGAAGGUUAUGCUAGAAAACGAGUGUUUUUUGGCAUUGGUAUAGCCCUGUGAAACAUCUCCUCACUUAUUCUAUUUGUCACUCCCGAGUAGAACUGCAUUGCCGUGUAAUUGGCACCAACCGGCUAUUUGGUCUGUAACCGUGUGAGAGAUAGAAACGAAUCAAAACGGUACGAGCGUGUUAUUUAAAAGUGAGGAUCGCUUUGGUUUCUGUAACCAGCGCCUUCUGCCAAAUAUUAGGCAUUUGCAUGGCAGGGCCUACUACGUAUCGAUGUCAUCAUGCACGUUAUUGUACCACGUGGUUUAGAUAGAGAUGUGGUUCCGGAGGUGGUGGUGGGGGGGGUUGUUGCUUCACGAGGUCAGAGGGUAAAACCUGGAGGGCAGCAGGCGGCCAGUGGUCAUGUUAAAAAAUGUCUUCCACUACAUAAUUGAUCGUGGCUUGGUGCUUUCACUGAUUUGACAUUUGACUUAUUGGCAUCAUCCUAUAUAGAUUGGCACGGUUGGCUACAUACAGUGUGUAAGAAGUUCAACAUACAUACAUUUUGUUGCAUUAUUUAGUCCAACCAGACCCAGGUUGUUGCCCACAAUUUGUAGUCUGCAACUUUUAAUUCAAACAUUGUCCUGUAUCAGUGCUCAUCGGGAAUUCACGUGACACGUUGCACGUGACAUUUCGUUCGACCUAAACGAUGGCCGCCC